UACGGAGGGGGCGAGCGUUGUCCGAAUUUACUGGGCGUAAAGGGCGCGUAGGCGGCCAGCACAAGUCAGUUGUGAAAUCUCCGAGCUUAACUCGGAAAGGUCAACUGAUACUGUGCGGCUAGAGUGCGGAAGGGGCAACUGGAAUUCUUGGUGUAGCGGUGAAAUGCGUAGAUAUCAAGAGGAACACCUGCGGCGAAGGCGGGUUGCUGGGCCGACACUGACGCUGAGGCGCGAAAGCCAGGGGAGCGAACGGG
Molecule: ribosomal RNA, 254 nt
Filed under: uncultured bacterium
Lineage: Bacteria
Description: partial 16S ribosomal RNA
Rfam family: Bacterial small subunit ribosomal RNA
Source: RNAcentral